GGGAAGUUGGCUCAGUGGUAGAGCACUUGCCUUGUAUGCAUGAGGCCUGGGUUCCAUUCCUCAGUACCA
Molecule: transfer RNA, 69 nt
Filed under: Dipodomys ordii (Ord's kangaroo rat)
Lineage: Eukaryota; Metazoa; Chordata; Mammalia; Rodentia; Heteromyidae
Rfam family: tRNA
About the family: Transfer RNA (tRNA) molecules are approximately 80 nucleotides in length. Their secondary structure includes four short double-helical elements and three loops (D, anti-codon, and T loops).
Source: Rfam by way of RNAcentral